This 381-nucleotide ribosomal RNA is filed under the name uncultured archaeon. RNAcentral describes it as "bacterial SSU rRNA". It matches the Rfam family "Archaeal small subunit ribosomal RNA", at positions 471 to 851 of the family's 1478-position model. The record is from RNAcentral.
UAACACCAGCAGCCCAAGUGGUGGUCGCGUUUAUUGGGCCUAAAGCGCUCGUAGCCUGGCCGGUAAGUCCCUUGUGAAAUCGGACGGCUUAACCGUUCGGCUUGCAAGGGAUACUGUUGGCCUUGAGGUCGGGAGAGGUCGGGGGUACUUCGGGGGUAGCGGUGAAAUGCUGUAAUCCCCGGGGGACCACCAGUGGCGAAGGCGUCCGACCAGAACGAACCUGACGGUGAGGGGCGAAAGCUUGGGGAGCGAACGGGAUUAGAUACCCCGGUAGUCCAAGCCGUAAAGCAUGCGGGUUGGGUGUAGAGCGUCCCUCGAGGGCGCUCGGUGCCGUAGGGAAGCCGUUAAACCCGCCGCCUGGGAAGUACGGUCGCAAGGCUG